CAGCAGUUCUUUCUGCGGCCACACCUUGGGCUAAAGGCAGACAAGAAAUGACGGAUAUUAAUUGCUGAUCAGUUCAGCUGCAGACUGCGGGAUUCGUGCCGACGUUCGCCCCCGUCAGGUGUGAAAUAUCAGCGGAGAGAAAUAAUUAACACAACGGCAGAGCGUCGUAGGACCGAGGGGCUUUCUGCAGAACGGGAGUGGUGUUUUCAGGGCGCUCCGCUCACCGGUUCCACAGUUGCAGUGAAGGAACACUGAAGAAUGAUGCUCCAGGGUUACCCCGAUCGCAGCUGAAGGAAUCAAUAUAACUUGUCUGAACAUGAAAGCGGAGCGUCGUCAACGUUUUGGGCACAUUCGUAAUGAAAACGCAGCUGGUGAUGAUGGAGACAGAAGGGAUGAUCAAACCAAAGGUUUGCCAAUAUUUGUCAACACUUUUCCUAAUUACUGUCCAGAAGCAACUUCAAGCUGAACGUAAACACGACUGGCACUGGAGGAAAUGAGCUAAGGUCCAAAUCCAGCUGCCUGGAGUAGCAGUCGGCCAACCUAAAAUGCUGCACAACAGCAGAUAAGUUGCCACCAUUCCCUCUGAGGAGACAGAGGGAAUGGUGUUUUUAGAAGUAUUCAGGGACAACUCGUACAUUGGAUUGUCUGUAUAUGAAAAACAACUCCAAAGUAUAAAUUAUUUUCAUGCUCAAAUAUCAAUGCAAUCCCAUUGAAAGAAAUCGUGAAUGGUCAGUAUUAUGUACAUGCAACUUCUUUGUGGCUUUACAUCAUGUUAUAAUGUGAUUCCCUCAUCAAAAACCUACCUGGAGUGUUGCCUUGAUUCUUUCAUGCAUGUUUGAGAAAUCCUUUAAUCGCCAUGGCAACCAUUCAGCUGUGCAAAAUACCUGGUUGGACCUACCCCCGCCUUCAAGCACAAAAUUCCUCCUUGGAGUUGCAUUUUCCAAGCUUCUGAGCUUAAACUCCUCCAGUCAGCUCCUUCAGACUAGCCAGAAAGAAUUAGCAAACACCUGGUGGAAAUGCACUUUAGGUGAACUCGUUAUAGGAGCCACUUCUCAGAGCAAUGCUGGUAAAAAUUUUGUUAAAGGGUAACUAGAGGAGAUAUGUUGUGAUUACUUCCUGUAGGUGGAGUCUUUGAAAAAGUAGGAGUUUCUUAAAGAAACAGAGGUCAAAUUUCAAGGAGUUUUAUUUAAGUCACAUUUCAUCUACAACAUUUUGAAGGUACUUUGUUGAUUAUGCUAUAAAAUGUCACUAUGGUCCUGGAAAAUACAUAAUAAUAUUCUCUUUAAAAAACUGAGUAUUUUCAGGUGUUUUGUCAUUUAUCCAGCAAUUAGCUGCACCUGAUUGUUCUUCAUUAAUUCAAAAGAUUAAACCACAUCACCAAAUCACUUUGAAGGUACUAAACGUAAUAAAAUCAAACCUAUGGGGAAGUGAAAGUGACCAACUAAACAAAUAUGCACAUUUUUAAACUUUAGCAGGACGUCAGUAUCCUGAGAUAAAACCUUACAAGCCCAAAAGAUGCUAACACAGCACUUUGCUGGGAUUUCAGAAUAACGUGCAGCCAUUGAAGUGAGGCAAGAAAUGAAGAGAUGUAGAGUAUUUCAGUUCAGAUGUGAAUAAUGAACAGAGGCAGUAUGAGCUGAAAGAGACAAAGGAGGUAAAAAUACAGAUAUGGAGUAUGUAUGAAUAACCCUCUUUUUUUAUUUUACAUUCAGCGCAAUCUACCAGACACAAGAAUUUGGGUCAGAACACUUUGAAAAAGUGUGGCUAACCGAACUCCUGGCUUUCAGGAACAUCCAGGCUGAAAAUAGUCCAGCUGAAAGACGAAGUAAAUCAAUAAUGUGGGAACUCGCGCCACAUGAAACGUAUGUCGUCCUGGAAGCAAUUCCAUCCGCAUCCAGAGCCAGCUUCUGGAGAUGAAGGAAGGUCGUUACGCUGAGGCCGCUAGCUGUCAAUGCUGUGAUGCAUAUGGGCUAAUGUAUGGAAAGUAGAAGCUGUGUGUAACCGCCUUCAUUAUCUGAAGUUGAACGGGAAGUUGCCAUAUGUACGGCGGAGCAGCAAAUUGGUGGGGGAAAAGGAGGCGGAAGAUAAAAAUCCAUGCACACAAUGAUACGUCUCGGGGGAAGCAAAGGCUUUUAGCUCCUUCUCUUUAGCUGUCGUUUAAGUGGAAAUGUAUUGGCACCAAUCCAAACUUUUAACUCCAAUUUUACUAACUUGAAAGAAGCCUGGGACGUCAGCACUGUUGUUUUUUCCUGCUUAAACUGGAGCCAGUUUCUAAAAGGGAUGACUUGGCAGUUUCAGUAAGCAACCAAUUUGUCUGCUGCAGGAGUUGUUGCUGCGCGGGUUCACAGAACAGAGCCAUAAUGAUUCCGGGUUCCAGACAGCAACAUUCGGGGAUCUUCGGAGGAUUUUAAAAGUCGAGGUUUUACACAGUUAACGGGGACGGCGAGGACGGGUUUCCUAUGGCUGCAAACGCGCCGCAUCAGCAGAAAAGACGGGCUGUUUAGCACAUCUUGCAAACUCAGCUGGAGAAUCGUAGGAAUCUCUUAUUAGAUGACCCAAUUCAGCAUCCAGUAGUCUUUAAAGGGGCAUUCACACCAGCCAUGCUGAGUCAAACUCUAGUUUGUUUGUCUAAAAAGUCCGGUUCAUUUGGGGAGGUGUGAAUGCAUUGUCAAACUUUGGUUGGACCAAUCUCUGGUCCACCUAAAAACCUAAGUUCUGGUUUGGUUGAAGUGAACUCUGGUGCGGUCAGAAUGCAUAUGCGAAUGUAAGUGGACCAGAGUCCGCUCCAAAAGCAGGAAGUGGACAAUGGUGCAUAGCAUUCUGGGUAAGUACACCCAAAACAAAUGUAUGAGUUUAGCACUAGAGGGAGAAAUGACUCGUGCUCUUCAGUCAAAGACAACAGAGAAAUCCUACAACCGUUAAAAUCAGUCACCACUCCAUUUGGGUUUGGUUAGUUUGACACAGAAAAUGUAACAAAUGUUCCAGUUCUGGUCCCCAAUCAAACUGAAUCUACCGGACUAACAGGUGUGAAAACACCGCAAGAUUGAGGUUAUUUUUGUGAACUAAAAAUUUUUAGAUUUCUUUGUUUUUGUGGCACUUCACCAGAAUUUUGUGAAAUUUACCCCACGACACACUACAGGCAAAGUAGUGUGUGGUCAUAGUACGUAAGUGAUAUCAAAAAUAUUCAUCACGUUACUUAAAACUUAUAAGAAAUAAACUUUAAUUGCCUCCCUGACACGUUUCCAGAAAGGUGUGCAGCUGAAAGGAUCCAGUGGCUGGCAGAGCCACACACAAACACCAGCAGAGAGACAGGCAGUCAUUACUCCUACAGCGCCGGUGAUCAACACUAAUUAUCGUCUUUGACCAGGGGAGGACCGUCUUCCAAUAUGUCCCUCACCGAUGACAGUUCAUUACUCACCAGCAGCUAAGACCAAAGGGGGCCCAGCUGUCAGGAAUUAGAGCAGAAAUCUGCUUCUGAAACUUUACUACCUGAAGAACGUCAAAAA
Xiphophorus maculatus (southern platyfish) is the source of this 3506-nucleotide long non-coding RNA. RefSeq lists it as uncharacterized. NCBI's taxonomy places the organism in Eukaryota, Metazoa, Chordata, Actinopteri, Cyprinodontiformes, Poeciliidae. The record is from RefSeq and is a predicted model, not a curated record. The transcript has 3 exons.